AACGCACAUUGCGCUCCCUGGUAUUCCGGGGAGCAUGCCCGUUUCAGAAUCAUUUUAAUAUCUCACCAAGUUAUGGGUGGCAAGCUCAUAAUCAGGUGGAAUUUGGAUGUUUUGUCUCUGUACAAUCAUCUUAAAAUGAUCGUAUGUGCUUGAGUGUGCUCUGGCAGUUGGGUACCAACGUGCAACAGAUUUUAUCUUUUCGCUUUGGUGUUUAAUUGAAAUCAGGUACCUGAAGCAUAUAUUUGCUGGCUUACAGAUGUUAUGCAUAAUGCAUGUAUAGCUUCUGAUAACUUGGUCUGAAAUCGGGCAAGAAAACCCGCUGAACUUAA
This 329-nucleotide unclassified non-coding RNA is filed under the name uncultured Spizellomycetales. RNAcentral describes it as "sequence contains 5.8S rRNA gene, ITS2, 28S rRNA gene". Lineage: Eukaryota; Fungi; Chytridiomycota; Chytridiomycetes; Spizellomycetales. The record is from RNAcentral.